This 479-nucleotide ribosomal RNA is filed under the name uncultured bacterium. Its description in RNAcentral is "bacterial SSU rRNA". It matches the Rfam family "Bacterial small subunit ribosomal RNA", at positions 28 to 507 of the family's 1533-position model. The record is from RNAcentral.
GAUGAACGCUAGCGGGAGGCUUAACACAUGCAAGUCGAGGGGCAGCACGUCUUCGGAUGGUGGCGACCGGCGCACGGGUGCGUAACGCGUAUGCAACCUGCCUUAUGCAGGGGGAUAGCCCGGGGAAACCCGGAUUAAUACCUCAUGAGACCUUUUCCCGCAUGGGGUGAAGGUGAAAGAUUUAUCGGCAUAAGAUGGGCAUGCGCCUGAUUAGCUAGUUGGUAGGGUAAAGGCCUACCAAGGCGACGAUCAGUAGGGGUUCUGAGAGGAACAUCCCCCACACUGGUACUGAGACACGGACCAGACUCCUACGGGAGGCAGCAGUGAGGAAUAUUGGUCAAUGGGCGGAAGCCUGAACCAGCCAUUCCGCGUGAAGGAAGAAGGCCUUAUGGGUUGUAAACUUCUUUUCUGUUAGAAGAAUAAGCUUGUCGAGACGAGUGAUGCCGGUAUGACAGGAAUAAGCAUCGGCUAACUCCGUG